UGAGGAAUAUUGGUCAAUGGGCGCAAGCCUGAACCAGCCAUCCCGCGUGCAGGAAGACGGCCCUAUGGGUUGUAAACUGCUUUUCCAGGGGACGAAUAGUUUCUACGUGUAGAGACAUGACGGUACCUUGGGAAUAAGCAUCGGCUAACUCCGUGCCAGCAGCCGCGGUAAUACGGAGGAUGCAAGCGUUAUCCGGAUUCAUUGGGUUUAAAGGGUGCGUAGGCGGAUUGAUAAGUCAGUGGUGAAAUCCUACAGCUUAACUGUAGAACUGCCAUUGAUACUGUUAGUCUUGAGUUUGGUUAAGGUAGGCGGAAUGUGUAAUGUAGCGGUGAAAUGCUUAGAUAUUACACAGAACACCAAUUGCGUAGGCAGCUUACUGGACCGACACUGACGCUGAGGCACGAAAGCGUGGGGAUCGAACA
This 422-nucleotide ribosomal RNA is filed under the name uncultured prokaryote. RNAcentral describes it as "bacterial SSU rRNA". It matches the Rfam family "Bacterial small subunit ribosomal RNA", at positions 355 to 774 of the family's 1533-position model. The record is from RNAcentral.